Long non-coding RNA from Gallus gallus (chicken), 875 nucleotides. RefSeq lists it as uncharacterized. The record is from RefSeq and is a predicted model, not a curated record. The transcript has 4 exons. Lineage: Eukaryota; Metazoa; Chordata; Aves; Galliformes; Phasianidae.
UUGAGGACUGCUUUUUUAAACCCACAUCUUUUUGCUAUUUAGUCAUAUUGGAGUCAACACAUCUUUGUGAUGCCGACAACAAAGCGCAGCUUUGGCAUCCAGGCUGGGAGGAAACCAGUCAGUAGUACUGCUAAGUUUGGCUUGCACGACGCAAAAGAAAUACGAAGAGGAGCAGAUGGAAUAAACUACAGUUUCUCAGAUAUUGGAGAUCCUGGAGACCAAGACUGAACACACUCUGAGGAUGGGGAAGCAGGAGAGGACUGGGGACAGCCCUUGGGAGGCACUGCAGCAGAUGGACAUCGGCUGAAAUCUGAGCUUGAGCGUGAGGCCUGCCCAAGACGAGGCGAGGAAAUGGUUCCCAAGAAGAUCCCCAUGCAGCAGCUGUGCCAGCAUCCAACCUGGAAAGACCCCUGCUCCUGCCACAGUUCCAGAUGCUCAAGGCUUGCCACCAUACACACUGUCCACAAAAGUGAGCAGCUGUGAGAUUUGACCCUGUAUUUUGUCUUUACAAAAUCCUAGAGGAAAACAUCGUUUCUUCAGACCUGUUGUAUACUUACAAAUUGUUUGUUGUAAUGACUGAAAAACAUUUCCAAUACUUUUCUUUCUUAUGGUAAGAUUGAUUUAUAAUUCAAAAUGCAAGAUUUCCUCUCCACUGUGAUCAGCCAGUCAUGGCUGGCGACGUUGUCUCUCUCUAUAAAGAUAGAAACCUAAAUAGCUGCACUGAGGAAAGCAUGUGUCAAAUUGUGAAGAUUAGAUUUUUUCCAGCGUCCAGCAGUUUGUGCAGGUAUUCAUGAAAAAGCAAUACAGAGCAAAACCAUGACUAAUCCUCUUCAGUAUUAUUUUCACCCAGUGUGAAUGUGCUUUGUAUUUCCAUG